RNAcentral lists this ribosomal RNA (2815 nucleotides) under Mallomonas morrisonensis. RNAcentral's name for it is "bacterial LSU rRNA". It matches the Rfam family "Bacterial large subunit ribosomal RNA". The record is from RNAcentral. Lineage: Eukaryota; Synurophyceae; Synurales; Mallomonadaceae.
GCGAAGAAGGACGUGGCUACCGGCGAAACGUUUCGGGGAGUUGGAAGUAAGCUUUGAUCCGAAAAUAUCCGAAUGAGGAAACUCACUAACUUCUUACUGAAUCUAUAAGUAAAGAAAGAGCAAACCUAGGGAACUGAAACAUCUUAGUACCUAGAGGAAAAGAAAGUAAAAACGAUUCCCUGAGUAGUGGCGAACGAAACGGGAACAGCCUAAACUUUUUGAAAUCCUAUGAUUUUCAAAAAGGGUUGUGGGAUAAAAAAGUUUUUCGUUAAUCGUCAGUUUGUCGAGGAAACGAAAAAGAAGAAAGAAACUCAAGCAAAAGCUAAGUCUUUUUUAGAAAUUAGGUGAAAUAACUGGAAAGUUAUACCAAAGAAAGUGAUAGUCUUGUAACCAAAAAUUUCUUACUAGAAUUUAUUCCCGAGUAGCAUGGGGCACGUGGAAUCCCGUGUGAAUCUGCGAGGACCACCUCGUAAGGCUAAAUAUUCCUGAAUGUCCGAUAGCGCAUAGUACCGCGAGGGAAAGGUGAAAAGAACCCCGGGAGGGGAGUGAAAUAGAACGUGAAAUUGCAAGCCCACAAACAGAAAGAGAACGACUUAGCGUUUAAUUUCGUGCCUGUUGAAGAAUGUUCCGGCGACUUAUAGUUAGUGGCAGGUUAAGAGAGAGAUCUCGGAGCCAGAGUGAAAGCGAGCUUGAAUAGAGCGUUGGUCACUAAUUAUAGACCCGAACCCGGUUGAUCUAACCAUGGCCAGGAUGAAACUUGGGUAACACUAAGUGGAGGUCCGAACCGACUGAUGUUGAAAAAUCAGCGGAUGAGCUGUGGUUAGGGGUGAAAUGCCAAUCGAAACCGGAGCUAGCUGGUUCUCCCCGAAAUGUAUUUAGGUGCAGCGGUUAAUAUUAUAGCGUAGGGGUAAAGCACUGUUUCGGUGCGGGCUGGUAAUUCGGUACCAAAUCGAGGCAAACUCUGAAUACUACGUGCACAGUUAACCAGUAAGACUAUGGGGGAUAAGCUUCAUAGUCAAGAGGGAAACAGCCCAGAUCACCAGCUAAGGCCCCUAAAUAAUGACUAAGUGAUAAAGGAAGUGGAAAGGCUUAGACAACCAGGAGGUUUGCUUAGAAGCAGCAAUCCUUUAAAAAGUGCGUAAUAGCUUACUGGUCUAGCAAUUCUGCGCCGAAAACUUAUGGGACUAAGUCAUUUGCCGAAGCUGUGAGAUAGAUACAUAUUUUUCUAGGAAUCUAGGAACUUAUCUUUCUAUCGGUAGGGGAGCGUUCUGUUGUAGAGUGAAGUAUUAGCGAAAGCGGGUAUGGACGAAACAGAAGUGAGAAUGUCGGAUUGAGUAGCGAAAACAUUGGUGAGAAUCCAAUGCUCCGAAAACCUAAGGUUUCCUCCGCAAGGCUCGUCCACGGAGGGUUAGUCAGGACCUAAGAUGAGGCUGAGAAGCGUAGUCGAUGGAGAAUUGGUCAACAUUCCAAUACUCGGUUCUAGCAGGUAUCGAGGGACGAAGAAGGCUAAACUAGCCAGAUAUUGGUUACUGGUUUAAGUAGUGAAUUCAAACAAAAUUGAAUUCUUUAUAAGGUGUUGAAGAUUAGAGAAACUAAUCUGAGCUGAAAUACGAAUACACGAUUUUGAAAAUCAAAGUAGUUGAUGUCAUACUUCCAAGAAAAGCUCGCUAUGCCUUAUGCUAGAAUCACCUGUACCAGAAACCGACACAGGUAGGUAGGUAGAGAAUACCAAGGAGCGCGGGAGAACCCUCCUUAAGGAACUCGGCAAAAUAGCUCUGUAACUUCGGAAGAAAGAGUGCCUUUUAGGCUGCAAUAUCAAGUUCCAAGCAACUGUUUAGCAAAAACACAGGUCUCCGCAAAGUGGUAACACGACGUAUGGGGGCUGACGCCUGCCCAGUGCUGGAAGGUUAAAGAAGUCGGUUAGCGCAAGCAAAGCUGGUAACUGAAGCCCCAGUGAACGGCGGCCGUAACUAUAACGGUCCUAAGGUAGCGAAAUUCCUUGUCAGGUAAGUUCUGACCCGCACGAAUGGCGUAAUGAUUUGGAAGCUGUCUCGAGGAGGGACUCGGUGAAAUAGAACUAGCUGUGAAGAUGCGGCUUACCUGCGCCUGGACAGUAAGACCCUAUGAAGCUUUACUGUAUCCUGAAAUUGGAUUUCGAUUUUAUUUGCGCAGAAUAGGUGGGAGACGGUGAGAUUUUUCUUUUGGGAAAGAUGGAGUCAUUAGUGAGAUACCACUCUGAUAAAAUUAAAAUUCUAACUUCAUACCGUAAGCCGGUUGAAAAACAGUUUCAGGUGGGCAGUUUGACUGGGGCGGUCGCCUCCCAAAAGGUAACGGAGGCGUACAAAGGUUUCCUCAGAUCGGUCAGAAAUCGAUCUUUGAGUGCAAAGGCAAAAGGAAGCUUAACUGUGAGACAAACAAGUCGAGCAGAGACGAAAGUCGGUCUUAGUGAUCUGACGAUGCUGUGUGGAAAGGUCGUCACUCAACGGAUAAAAGUUACUCUAGGGAUAACAGGCUGAUCUCCCCCAAGAGUUCCUAUCGACGGGGAGGUUUGGCACCUCGAUGUCGGCUCAUCGCAUCCUGGGGCGGAAGUACGUCCCAAGGGUUGGGCUGUUCGCCCAUUAAAGCGGUACGUGAGCUGGGUUCAGAACGUCGCGAGACAGUUCGGUCCAUAUCCGGCGUGGGCGUUAGAGUAUUGAGAGUGACCUUUCUCUAGUACGAGAGGACCGAGAAAGAUGUACCGCUGGUGUACCAGUUCUUGUGCCAACAGGAAAUGCUGGGUAGCUAAGUACAGUUAGGAUAACCGCUGAAAGCAUCU